GAGCAGCCAACCAACAGCCCAGCUGCGGUGCCAAAUCGCAGAAAAAGCUCGCCAUCGCUAUAACAUCAGACAUGGAUGACUUUCAUUGUAACCGUACUUGGAUACAAUAUUCGCGAUUUGUGAAAACAGAAGUCGAUAAUUAGCAAAGAAAUUAACGAAAACUUAUCUCGUAAGCGGUUUUUGUCGUAAUGCUGUUCCAAUGCAUCGGAUUUAAACUACCGCUUUGGUCUCAUGUUAUGUGAAGAUGUGAAGUUUGCUGUGUGACAUACCAAACAGGAUAUAUAUAGCAACAGAAAAUACAAAUAAAUCACACGUUCUCAGAAGGCAGAAUUAGGAGGAUGUAUACAAGCAAGAGUAUAGAGUAAAAGCAUUAACAAGCACAAGCAAGACCAUUUCUGUACACGAAUAUUACUGGUAUAAUUGUGUCCAUUCCCUGAAUGAUCACUACACUAUAGUUGCACUAUGAUUAUAUACAGCAGGUGUACAAAUCAUCACAAUAAUGGUCAUGAGACGAAAUAAAAUUAAGGAAAACAAUAAUGUUCUCAAACAAUUAAAAAAACUUAACUGGAAAAAAACAAACAAACAACUUAACAUAUGAUAAAUUCGAUAUAAACGUAAAAAGAGAAGACGAUAAAGUUUGCUAAGCGAUGUAAGAAUGAUAAUGAUUUGAUUUUCGCAAAUAAAAAAUUUGCAAAAAAUCGAGAUAAUCAUCACUCGCCACUCGUUACUUUAUGCAUUUCAUCAAAUUCAAAUACGUACACUGAUACUAAACGAAAAUGAACAUCAUCAAUUAUAGCGUCGCCCCAAAAAAAA
Long non-coding RNA from Pogonomyrmex barbatus (red harvester ant), 813 nucleotides. RefSeq lists it as uncharacterized. The record is from RefSeq and is a predicted model, not a curated record. Lineage: Eukaryota; Metazoa; Arthropoda; Insecta; Hymenoptera; Formicidae.